This 73-nucleotide transfer RNA is filed under the name Ailuropoda melanoleuca (giant panda). It matches the Rfam family "tRNA". From Rfam's summary of the family: Transfer RNA (tRNA) molecules are approximately 80 nucleotides in length. Their secondary structure includes four short double-helical elements and three loops (D, anti-codon, and T loops). The record is from Rfam by way of RNAcentral. Lineage: Eukaryota; Metazoa; Chordata; Mammalia; Carnivora; Ursidae.
ACCUGGCUGGCUCAGUCAGUGAAGCCUAUGACUCUUGAUCUUGGGAUUGUGAGUUCAAGCCCCAUGCUGGGUG